Non-coding RNA from Pogona vitticeps (central bearded dragon), 900 nucleotides. The record is from RefSeq and is a predicted model, not a curated record. Lineage: Eukaryota; Metazoa; Chordata; Lepidosauria; Squamata; Agamidae.
UGUUGGCCAUUUUCUUAGAACACAUCAUUUUCCAUCUUGCUGCUACUGCUCUUUCCUUCAAAUGAUCUUUUAAAAUAAUCUAUCCACCUACCCAUUGCCAUCUUCUCUUUUUUGCUUUGACUUCCCCCCCCACAAAAAAAGCCAAUUUCCGUUUCACAGCUAGUGGAUAAUUACUCUUUGAUCUGCUAGUAGGGGAGGAAACAUCAGAAGCCAUCAAGAUCCAGGACCGUGAAAAGAGAUGAAUCAAAUGUGAUGAGAUGCUACUCUUCAAAGGAAGAGACAACCUGGUGAGCAAUCCUUGCCAUUGUUUAGCUUCCGGCACGUUCAUUGUCAAGAGUAUCACACAACGUUUGCCCAGUCUGAAUCUAACGACUUUCUGCUGCAGGGGACUUUUGGAACAGAAUGGUCAUGAAGAUAUGAAUUUGAACAUGUUCUUGGACAUGAAAUCAAUCCUCUGACACAGUAUAUAAGGAUGUUUGCUGUCUGUGGACAUUAAUCAGGCUUCUCUCAAUUAUAUCGCCUUUGUAAUCCUUCCUUCGACACAACUUUAUGGAGGGGUCAGCAUGGGAUCAAAUCCAAUAGUGAUGAGGAAGGAUCUGUGUAUUUGUGCAGUUCUCCUAGUGGAGAUCUUCUCAAGGGACUAUGGGAGAGAGUCCUGCAAGUGCAUGCCAAGCUCAGAAGUUAUGGCACAUAAGUAACAGAAAAUAAAGUGGUUUCUGCCCACGUGGUUUCCCUACAUAGUUUGCCUACAUUCCUGUCAUAUUAGAUUCCCUCAGCAACCAGAUAAUGGGAGAAUGACUGGUCACUCAGCAGCUUCAUGGCCAAAGUUGGAAGUCUGCCCUGAAUGCUAGGACCGAAGCUCUCUGGAAAUGUAACCUAAUAAAGCUGUAACCAAUUUGC